Molecule: ribosomal RNA, 440 nt
Filed under: uncultured bacterium
Lineage: Bacteria
Description: partial 16S ribosomal RNA
Rfam family: Bacterial small subunit ribosomal RNA
Source: RNAcentral
CCUACGGGAGGCAGCAGUGGGGGAUAUUGCACAAUGGGGGAAACCCUGAUGCAGCGACGCCGCGUGGGUGAAGAAGCGCCUCGGCGCGUAAAGCCCUGUCAGCAGGGAAGAAAAUGACGGUACCUGAAGAAGAAGCCCCGGCUAACUACGUGCCAGCAGCCGCGGUAAUACGUAGGGGGCAAGCGUUAUCCGGAUUUACUGGGUGUAAAGGGGGCGCAGACGGGGUUGCAAGCCAGGAGUGAAAGCCCGGGGCCCAACCCCGGGACUGCACUUGGAACUGGGUGGCUAGAGUGCAGGAGGGGCAGGCGGAAUUCCUGGUGUAGCGGUGAAAUGCGUAGAUAUCAGGAGGAACACCGGUGGCGAAGGCGGCCUGCUGGACUGCAACUGACGUUGAGGCCCGAAAGCGUGGGGAGCAAACAGGAUUAGAUACCCGAGUAGUC